CCCGCUGAACUUAAGCAUAUCAAUAAGCGGAGGAAAAGAAACUAACAAGGAUUCCCCUAGUAACUGCGAGUGAAGCGGGAAAAGCUCAAAUUUGAAAUCUGGCGUGCCUCUGGUCGUCCGAGUUGUAGUUUAGAGAAGCGUUUUCUGUGUUGGACCGUGUAUAAGUCUCUUGGAACAGGGCGUCAUAGAGGGUGAGAAUCCCGUCUUUGACACGGACUACCAAUGCUUUGUGAUACGCUCUCAAAGAGUCGAGUUGUUUGGGAAUGCAGCUCAAAAUGGGUGGUAAAUUCCAUCUAAAGCUAAAUAUAGGCGAGAGACCGAUAGCGAACAAGUACCGUGAGGGAAAGAUGAAAAGCACUUUGGAAAGAGAGUUAAACAGUACGUGAAAUUGCUGAAAGGGAAACGCUUGAAGUCAGUCACGUCUGCCAGGACUCAGCCUUGCUUCUGCUUGGUGUACUUUCUGGUUGGAUGGGCCAACAUCGAUUUCGACCGUUGGAGAAAGGCUUUGGGAAUGUGGCACCUUCGGGUGUGUUAUAGCCCUUUGUCGUAUGCAAUGGUUGGGAUCGAGGACUGCAGCAUGCCUUCAUGGCCGGGGUUCGCCCACGUACAUGCUUAGGAUGUUGGCAUAAUGGCUUUAAGCGACCCGUCUUGAAACACGG
RNAcentral lists this ribosomal RNA (659 nucleotides) under uncultured fungus. Its description in RNAcentral is "eukaryotic LSU rRNA". It matches the Rfam family "Eukaryotic large subunit ribosomal RNA", at positions 24 to 664 of the family's 3401-position model. The record is from RNAcentral. Lineage: Eukaryota; Fungi.